RNAcentral lists this ribosomal RNA (229 nucleotides) under uncultured bacterium. RNAcentral's name for it is "partial 16S ribosomal RNA". It matches the Rfam family "Bacterial small subunit ribosomal RNA", at positions 104 to 334 of the family's 1533-position model. The record is from RNAcentral.
CGGGGUGAGUAAUGUCUGGGAAACUGCCUGAUGGAGGGGGAUAACUACUGGAAAUGGUAGCUAAUACCGCAUAACGUCGCAAGACCAAAGAGGGGGACCUUCGGGCCUCUUGCCAUCGGAUGUGCCCAGAUGGGAUUAGCUAGUAGGUGGGGUAACGGCUCACCUAGGCGACGAUCCCUAGCUGGUCUGAGAGGAUGACCAGCCACACUGGAACUGAGACACGGUCCAG